Molecule: long non-coding RNA, 1256 nt
Organism: Phyllopteryx taeniolatus (common seadragon)
Lineage: Eukaryota; Metazoa; Chordata; Actinopteri; Syngnathiformes; Syngnathidae
Exons: 4
Source: RefSeq, a predicted model, not a curated record
UUAAUGCUGAAAGGUACAUACAGGUUUGGGAGCAAAAUAUGCUGCCAUCCAAGCAGUGUCUUUUUCAGGGACAUCCCUGCUCAUUUCAGCGAGACAAUUCCAAACCACAUUCUGCAUGUGUUACAACAGCGUGGCUUGUUAGUAAAAGAGUGAGUAUUAGACUGGCCUCCCAGCAGUUUAUUAUGAAGCACAAAAUACGACAGAGAUCCGGGACAAUUGAGCAACGUAAGUUGUAUAUCAAGCAAGAAUGGGAAAUAAUUCCACCUACAAAGCUUCAACAAAUAGUGUCCUCAGAUCCCAAACGCUUUUGAGUGUUGUUCAAAGGAAAGGUGAUGUAUCACAGUGGUAAAUGUGCCCCUGUCCCAGCUUUUUGGGAACAUGUUGCAGACAUCAAAUUCUAAAUGAAUGAAUAUUUGCAAAAAAAGUUUGAUUAUUAACUCAUUCCCUCCCAAUGCCGUCCAAAGACGUCAUUAAGAAUCCAUCUAUUCCCUGCUAAUGCCGUCUAGAGACAUCAAUGGCGUUUUUUUAACGGGGAUGGGUGAGGGAGGGUCUUGUGCAGUUUGUGUGUGAUCGUCAAGCCUGUGGAUAACUGCAAUGAGGAUUGGCACCCUGUAGAGGGCAACAAUGCCUUGAGGUGAAUGUCCCUCCCUCAGAGGAAGAAGAGGGAGGGGGCAGGCCUGCGGGGUACAAGAGACAGUGAGAAGAGAAACAUAAUGGCGGAAAAGAGUGAAGACAAAAUGGGGGGGGGGGGAGAAUAAAAAAUUAAAAUAAAUAAAUAAAAAGCUUUCGAUACUACAAAUUUAUUGCGCCAAGGCAAGAAAAAUAUUCCUGCGACCGACAGGAAUGACGCCUUAGAUCAUGCGGGGAAUGUUCCAAAGCUAACGCGCAAAAUGCCGGCCCAUACAUAUGGCAAGAUGCUCUCGGGCGCUUGCUGGCUGAUCGUCUGCUGACCAGGAUUUGAAUAAAUGGGAUCCGGAAUAGUCAAGAGAGUGAACUCCCUUUUGGAUAGCCAGGAAUUCAACACCCGCGAGUCGAGCGUCUUUUAGGAUUGCGAAGAAGAAAGGCUAUGCAUCCAGCAGACAUUCGAGUCCCAUUCCAGUAUGCAGUGCACACAAAAAAGAGGUUCUGCUUCGAGCAGAAGUAGUGACUGGUUUCAAGGAGAAUGACAACCACACAAGAUCCCAUUCAAUGCCAACAGAGGAUAAAACUUUGCUAGAUUUUAUGUGCAAGGUAAUAAAAACCUGGACUAUUGAGCA